CCAGGCACCCCUGAAAAACAAGUUUCUGAUAAAAAAGCGUACCAUUGGAAAGUUCCCAUCUCUUUUGCAUUUCCAAGAGCCACUGGGGAUGGAUACUCAGGGUAAAGUACGGACUGUGCUACUCUGGCCAACGCCAGCCCCGUCCACUCUGGCCAUCAUUUGCACAGCCUUUGUCACUUGCUCCUGACUGCCAACAUCCAGGCUUCACAGAUGGCUUUUGGUGCUGCAUCUCAGGCUACGUAUCAGUCACUGUUCAGUUGUGGAUCUGGACCAGAGCAGGAAGGUAACUUCCCACCCUUUAAGUUCUGUUCUGUUACUGUGUGCUCCCAGCUGAGGCCCUCAGCUCCUGAGUGUUGGGAGACAGCUCUGUUUGUUUGCAAAAUAUGCCUUCUGGUUCCAAGUGUUCACUUGCUCCUGGAGUAGUUCAUUUGGGAUGUUGUAAACAGCUACCAUGCUGUUAAUUGGAAACAUCACUCCUCUCCAAUCUUCGGGUCCUGUUGCUGAGUCCAUUCAUUGUGCCAGGUUCCACCUUAAGUAGGUAUCAGUUCUCCUUCGAGGCUCUUUCAUCACCCUGUGGUUUGCCUACUGUCAUCAGCACCUGAUUCAUCAGACAUUCCCAUGGACAUUGGAACCUCUUCAGCCCCAAUGGCGCCUAACUCCACAUGCCAGACCUAUAUUGGGUCAGCCAGUACCUCUGCUAUAAAUAUAGGAAAUGUGAUAUAUUUAGUGCAGCUAUUUAAAUUUCAUAAUCUAUGAUCACCUGAAUAUAGGAACUAAUUCAUUCAGAAUCAAACUAUUUGGAAAACUAAAACAACUGAAUUUUUGUACCACUUAAACUUGGCUUUUAAUACUUUUACAUUUUGAGAUAAUUAUAGACUGUACAAAAUAAUCCAGAGAUCCCAUAUACCUUUAUCCAGUGUUCCCCCAAUGGCAACAACUUGUAUAACUAUAGUACAAUAUCACAACUAGCAAAUUGAUAUUGAUAUAAUCCAGCAACACGUUCAGAUAUCACCAGUUUUAGUUUUACAUGCACUCACGUAUAUGCCUGUGUGUCUAUUUAGUGCUAGGCAAUUUUAUCGCAUACACGGGUUCACACGGCCACCAAAAUAUAGGACAGUUCCACCUGUUCUGUAGGAACCUUCAUGCCACCCUGCUGACACCACCCUGGUGGGAGAUGAGGAACUCUGCCUGCUUCCAACUGGCAGGAAAUGGAGAAUCAGCCCCACCAAUAUGACUGGGCGGGAGAACUGGAGCCCCACCACCUGCUUCUGCAGGGAUGGGGGUGAGGAGGAAGAUCAGCUCCCUAUUCUGCCCCACUGAACCUAGGGAGAGGGGGAUACAAUUCUCUACGAAUGUCUGGCCAAAGUAGGGCAAGAUUGCCAAAAAGCCUUUGUAUGGUUGAGGCCGCUCCUUCGUUGGUUCGUUGAGUAGGAGGAACAGAUGUUUCUCGUGGCUUACUUUAUCCAUGCCUACUGAUGGUUCCAGGAUGGAAGCUACUAUAGUACCCAGCCUGGGCUAUAUGGGAGGCAGUAAGGAAACCUAGAUUCGUCACCAUGUUAUUUCUCAAGUCCCAGAGUCCCUAGGCAGUCCAUCUUCUUCUUUCCUCCUUUGAGUCUUCCUAUGUUUGUUUGAUAUAUUAUGUCCACAGUUGUAAUAAGGAGCACCUGGAAGGAAAAGGGUGCUCCAUCCUGGCUAGAACCAGAGGUCUUAUCUAUACUUGAUUUUUAAGAGAAAUAAAUAGAUAACAGGUAUGUUGAUACCAACAGUUAACUCAUGGAAGCAACUUUUCAGGAUGUUACCAUUUUCGUCUGGUAUUCUGUAUCUAUCAAUAUUCCAUGUCUCAUAGAUGUGUGUGUGUUACAUACCUUGGCAUGUGACAAGAAUUUGUGUUCAAAAUGAGAAUAUUCUGUGAAUAGCUUCUGAAGCACCGAAGAAAAUGAAAGUAUCUUCUCUGCA
Leopardus geoffroyi (Geoffroy's cat) is the source of this 1956-nucleotide long non-coding RNA. RefSeq lists it as uncharacterized. The transcript is spliced from 2 exons. The record is from RefSeq and is a predicted model, not a curated record. Lineage: Eukaryota; Metazoa; Chordata; Mammalia; Carnivora; Felidae.